GCGAGAUUAGCUCAGUUGGUAGAGCAACUUGUUUACACCAAGAAGGUCAGAGGUUCGAGUCCUCUAUCUCGCA
RNAcentral lists this transfer RNA (73 nucleotides) under Minisyncoccota bacterium. RNAcentral's name for it is "tRNA-Val". It matches the Rfam family "tRNA". Rfam says of the family: Transfer RNA (tRNA) molecules are approximately 80 nucleotides in length. Lineage: Bacteria; Bacillati; Minisyncoccota. The record is from RNAcentral.